Molecule: non-coding RNA, 135 nt
Organism: Triticum aestivum (bread wheat)
Lineage: Eukaryota; Viridiplantae; Streptophyta; Magnoliopsida; Poales; Poaceae
Source: Rfam
AUUGUACUCCUUCCGUCCGAAAAUACUUGUCAUCAAAAUGGAUAAAAAAAGAUGUAUCUAGAACUAAAAUAUGUCUAGAUACAUCCCCUUUUAUUCAUCUUGAUGACAAGUAUUUUCAGACGGAGGCAUCAAAUU